RNAcentral lists this ribosomal RNA (497 nucleotides) under uncultured bacterium. Its description in RNAcentral is "partial 16S ribosomal RNA". It matches the Rfam family "Bacterial small subunit ribosomal RNA", at positions 28 to 507 of the family's 1533-position model. The record is from RNAcentral.
GAUGAACGCUGGCGGCGUGCCUAAUACAUGCAAGUCGAGCGAACAGACGAGGAGCUUGCUCCUCUGACGUUAGCGGCGGACGGGUGAGUAACACGUGGAUAACCUACCUAUAAGACUGGGAUAACUUCGGGAAACCGGAGCUAAUACCGGAUAAUAUAUUGAACCGCAUGGUUCAAUAGUGAAAGACGGUUUUGCUGCCACUUAUAGAUGGAUCCGCGCCGCAUUAGCUAGUUGGUAAGGUAACGGCUUACCAAGGCAACGAUGCGUAGCCGACCUGAGAGGGUGAUCGGCCACCCUGGAACUGAGACACGCUCCAGAGUCCUACGGGAGCCAUCCGUAGGGAAUCUUCCGCAAUGGGCGAAAGCCUGACGGAGCAACGCCGCGUGAGUGAUGAAGGUCUUCGGAUCGUAAAACUCUGUUAUUAGGGAAGAACACGUGUGUAAGUAACUAUGCGCGUCUUGACGGUACCUAAUCAGAAAGCCACGGCUAACUACGUG